UGCAGCUCUGUCAAAUUCGUUCUCUGCCUCCUCCCUGGCAGGGAGCGGCCAAGCAGCUGCCACAGCAACCUUGUGCCCCACGAGCCCCAUGGCCCCUUCAGUGGGGCACUGGGGGUGAAAUGGCACAGACACAG
Molecule: small nucleolar RNA, 134 nt
Organism: Dryobates pubescens (Downy woodpecker)
Lineage: Eukaryota; Metazoa; Chordata; Aves; Piciformes; Picidae
Product: small nucleolar RNA SNORA5
Exons: 1
Source: RefSeq, a predicted model, not a curated record